Molecule: ribosomal RNA, 253 nt
Filed under: uncultured bacterium
Lineage: Bacteria
Description: partial 16S ribosomal RNA
Rfam family: Bacterial small subunit ribosomal RNA
Source: RNAcentral
UACGUAGGGGGCAAGCGUUAUCCGGAUUUACUGGGUGUAAAGGGAGCGUAGACGGCGAUGCAAGCCAGAUGUGAAAGCCCGGGGCUCAACUCCGGGACUGCAUUUGGAACUGUAUAGCUAGAGUGUCGGAGAGGCAGGCGGAAUUCCUAGUGUAGCGGUGAAAUGCGUAGAUAUUAGGAGGAACACCAGUGGCGAAGGCGGCCUGCUGGACGAUGACUGACGUUGAGGCUCGAAAGCGUGGGGAGCAAACAGG